UUCGGUUAAAUCUGUACGCUCAACGUACAGGCUGCCGGGAAUACUGCAGAGCUAGGGAGUGGGAGAGGUAGACGGUACUCGGUAGGAAGGGGUAAAAUCCUUUGAUCUAUUGAUGACCACCUGUGGUGAAGGCGGUCUACCAGAACACGUCCGACGGUGAGGGAUGAAAGCUGGGGGAGCAAACCGGAUUAGAUACCCGGGUAGUCCCAGCUGUAAACUAUGCAAACUCAGUGAUGCAUUGGCUUGUGGCCAAUGCAGUGCUGCAGGGAAGCCGUUAAGUUUGCCGCCUGGGAAGUACGUACGCAAGUAUGAAACUUAAAGGAAUUGGCGGGGUAGCACACAAGGGGUGAAGCCUGCGGUUCAAUUGGAGUCAACGCCAGAAAUCUUACCCGGAGAGACAGCAGAAUGAAGGUCAAGUUGAAGACUUUACCAGACAAGCUGAGAGGUGGUGCAUGGCCGUCGCCAGCUCGUGCCGUGAGAUGUCCUGUUAAGUCAGGUAACGAGCGAGAUCCCUGCCUCUAGUUGCCACCAUUAUUCUCAGGAAUAGUGGGGCGAAUUAGCGGGACCGCCGCAGUUAAUGCGGAGGAAGGAAGGGGCCACGGCAGGUCAGUAUGCCCCGAAACUCUGGGGCCACACGCGGGCUGCAAUGGUAACGACAAUGGGUUUCGAAUCCGAAAGGAUGAGGUAAUCCUCAAACGUUACCACAGUUAUGACUGAGGGCUGCAACUCGCCCUCACGAAUAUGGAAUCCCUAGUAACUGCGUGUCAUUAUCGCGCGGUGAAUACGUCCCUGCUCCUUG
RNAcentral lists this ribosomal RNA (799 nucleotides) under uncultured archaeon. RNAcentral's name for it is "bacterial SSU rRNA". It matches the Rfam family "Archaeal small subunit ribosomal RNA", at positions 540 to 1339 of the family's 1478-position model. The record is from RNAcentral.